CCUACGGGAGGCAGCAGUGGGGAAUAUUGCACAAUGGGGGAAACCCUGAUGCAGCAACGCCGCGUGAGUGAAGAAGUAUUUCGGUAUGUAAAGCUCUAUCAGCAGGGAAGAGAAUGACGGUACCUGACUACGAAGCCCCGGCUAACUACGGGACAGCAGCCGCGGUAAUACGUAGGGGGCGAGAGUGAGCCGGUUUUACUGGUUGUAAAGGGAACGGAGACGGGUCUGCUAGGCAGAAGGGAAAGCCCCUGGCUUAACCGGGGAACGGCUUUGGAAACUGUGGAACUGGAGUGCUGGAGAGGCAAGCGGAAUUCCUGGUGUAGCGGUGAAAGGCGUAGAUAUUAGGAGGAACACCAGUGGCGAAGGCGGCUUGCUGGACAGUAACUGACGUUGAGGCUCGAAAGCGUGGGGAGCAAACAGGAUUAGAUACCCUGGUAGUC
RNAcentral lists this ribosomal RNA (440 nucleotides) under uncultured bacterium. RNAcentral describes it as "partial 16S ribosomal RNA". It matches the Rfam family "Bacterial small subunit ribosomal RNA", at positions 338 to 795 of the family's 1533-position model. The record is from RNAcentral.